AGAGUUUGAUCCUGGCUCAGGAUGAACGCUGGCGGCGUGCCUAAUACAUGCAAGUCGAGCGAAUGGAUUAAGAGCUUGCUCUUAUGAAGUUAGCGGCGGACGGGUGAGUAACACGUGGGUAACCUGCCCGUAAGACUGGGAUAACUCCGGGAAACCGGGGCUAAUACCGGAUAAUAUUUUGAACUGCAUGGUUCGAAAUUGAAAGGCGGCUUCGGCUGUCACUUAUGGAUGGACCCGCGUCGCAUUAGCUAGUUGGUGAGGUAACGGCUCACCAAGGCAACGAUGCGUAGCCGACCUGAGAGGGUGAUCGGCCACACUGGGACUGAGACACGGCCCAGACUCCUACGGGAGGCAGCAGUAGGGAAUCUUCCGCAAUGGACGAAAGUCUGACGGAGCAACGCCGCGUGAGUGAUGAAGGCUUUCGGGUCGUAAAACUCUGUUGUUAGGGAAGAACAAGUGCUAGUUGAAUAAGCUGGCACCUUGACGGUACCUAACCAGAAAGCCACGGCUAACUACGUGCCAGCAGCCGCGGUAAUACGUAGGUGGCAAGCGUUAUCCGGAAUUAUUGGGCGUAAAGCGCGCGCAGGUGGUUUCUUAAGUCUGAUGUGAAAGCCCACGGCUCAACCGUGGAGGGUCAUUGGAAACUGGGAGACUUGAGUGCAGAAGAGGAAAGUGGAAUUCCAUGUGUAGCGGUGAAAUGCGUAGAGAUAUGGAGGAACACCAGUGGCGAAGGCGACUUUCUGGUCUGUAACUGACACUGAGGCGCGAAAGCGUGGGGGAGCAAACAGGAUUAGAUACCC
This 800-nucleotide ribosomal RNA is filed under the name uncultured bacterium. RNAcentral describes it as "bacterial SSU rRNA". It matches the Rfam family "Bacterial small subunit ribosomal RNA", at positions 8 to 787 of the family's 1533-position model. The record is from RNAcentral.